GAUGGAUACUCCCUGCUGCCUGGCUGGUUCUCCUGAGAACUGGGAGCCUUUGACCUGGUGCUGACUUUCUGCAGCUUGAAUCCUGGUCCUGAAACAAGCCUCAGGUGGGCCUGGAGCAUGGAUUGGAAAGCAGAAGAGCUGAGUCAUCCCCUGAGAAGAAACCUCCCACAGCAGAUGUUGCACCAUGCGAUCCUGCUGUCUCUUGCAGUCACUGCUGGAAGAACGCCUGUGUCACCUGAAGACCUGUGUGGAGAUAACACGGUCCUGUUCCUCCGGUCACAUCGCUAAAGCAAAGAUAAAUUCCUUGUUCGGUGCCUGGUGCACUGCAAGUGCCAGGAAAUCCUUCCUGUUUGGAAGCAUCCCUGCCUGUAUUGAGACCUUACCUUUGAAAGGCCCUAAUACCAAUGUUUCUGCCAGUCCCAUAGCACUGUGGUAUUAA
RNAcentral lists this long non-coding RNA (439 nucleotides) under Anas platyrhynchos platyrhynchos (common mallard). Its description in RNAcentral is "lncRNA (ENSAPLG00000024058.1)". The record is from RNAcentral. Lineage: Eukaryota; Metazoa; Chordata; Aves; Anseriformes; Anatidae.